This is a small nucleolar RNA of Apteryx haastii (Great spotted kiwi), 86 nucleotides long. The record is from Ensembl. Lineage: Eukaryota; Metazoa; Chordata; Aves; Apterygiformes; Apterygidae.
UCUGGCAAUGAUGACGCACUUGCCCUCACUGAGAACGUUGUUCGCUAAUGAGAGCUGUUUUCUGUACUCAGCAGAGCUGAGCCAGA